This 75-nucleotide transfer RNA is filed under the name Candidatus Lloydbacteria bacterium CG22_combo_CG10-13_8_21_14_all_47_15. Its description in RNAcentral is "tRNA-Arg". It matches the Rfam family "tRNA". From Rfam's summary of the family: Transfer RNA (tRNA) molecules are approximately 80 nucleotides in length. The record is from RNAcentral. Lineage: Bacteria; Candidatus Lloydiibacteriota.
GCCCCUGUAGCUCAAUGGAUAGAGCAGAUCCGUCCUAAGGAUAAGAUGCGGGUUCGAUUCCUGCCGGGGGCACCA